This is a small nucleolar RNA of Callithrix jacchus (white-tufted-ear marmoset), 93 nucleotides long. Lineage: Eukaryota; Metazoa; Chordata; Mammalia; Primates; Cebidae. The record is from Ensembl.
GUUUGUUUAUAGUUCAUAAAUGUAACUAUUGGGUAUUCGCACUCAUGUGUGAGAUGUGCCUCUCAUCUUUGUUACAACUUCAGCACAUAGAUA